Molecule: unclassified non-coding RNA, 184 nt
Filed under: fungal sp.
Lineage: Eukaryota; Fungi
Description: partial internal transcribed spacer region
Rfam family: Eukaryotic small subunit ribosomal RNA (bases 1-46)
Source: RNAcentral
AAGUCGUAACAAGGUUUCCGUAGGUGAACCUGCGGAAGGAUCAUUAACGAACGAAAGGUUUACAUUUUAUUAUGUGAAUCUUUUGGGAUCAACCAAAACCUGUGUGAAAAAAAAAGUAUAUCGAUCAAUCGAAUACUCUAUUAUAAUAAUUAUAAAACUUUCAACAACGGAUCUCUUGGCUCUU